This 649-nucleotide long non-coding RNA is filed under the name Oreochromis niloticus (Nile tilapia). RNAcentral's name for it is "lncRNA (ENSONIG00000009618.2)". Lineage: Eukaryota; Metazoa; Chordata; Actinopteri; Cichliformes; Cichlidae. The record is from RNAcentral.
GUUAUCAUAUUUAAUACCUCUAUCAUGAAGAUGCUGACUGCGUUUCUGCAUGUGUGUCUCAUCAUUGCUGUGACACAAAGUCAUCCUCUUUUUGAGGAAAUUGGGUCAGGUGACUCAAGUAAUGCAGGUGUUGGUUCGCCAGGAGCAACGGGAGACCCACCAUUUGCAACAGAUGUUCCAGAUGAAACAACAACUGUGAUAGCUGACUCAACUACUCAAGAGAGAAUCUAUUAUGACUCAGAGGAAGAUCUAGGAUUUCUGAGAGACAAACCAACUGUGAUAGCUGACUCAACUAAUGAUGAUGGAUACUUUUAUGACUCAGAUGAAGAACUAGGACAUCCGAGAGUUUGGAGAGGCAGGUCUGAUGAUUCAUCUAAUGGAGAUGGAGAAAAUUCUGACACAUCGGAAGAUGCACCAGAUGCAGCAGAGGAAACAGGCGGGUCUGAUGAUUCAUCUAAUGGAGGUGGAGAAAGUUCUGACACAUCAGAAGAUGCACCAGAUGCAGCAGAGGAAACAGGCGGGUCUGAUGAUUCAUCUAAUGGAGGUGGAGAAAGUUCUGACACAUCAGAAGAUGCCCCAGUUGCAGCAGAUGCAGAUGAUGCCUGAAACAAAGACACCACCAUAUCAAGACACAUGAAGUUUUUUAAUA